Long non-coding RNA from Uranotaenia lowii, 1961 nucleotides. RefSeq lists it as uncharacterized. The transcript is spliced from 4 exons. The record is from RefSeq and is a predicted model, not a curated record. Lineage: Eukaryota; Metazoa; Arthropoda; Insecta; Diptera; Culicidae.
AUAGUGUUCCGCACAUUGAAAAAAAAUAAACACUUUCAACUUAGACGUGUUAAAUGAAUUUCGGAUUUAAAAAACACUAACUUAAAAGUAUGUCCUCCAAAAAUUUAUUGGCUAAUAGAAAAUUUAGAAAAACUGAACAGAACGAUAAAAUUAAAAUACUUUGACUUACAAAGUGAAACCGGCACUUUAGUGUGAGAGUUUCUCUAUUAAAUUUACUGACACAAUUCACAAUUCUGCUUCUCCCCAGCACGGAUGUUGCUUGAGACAGCACUUGUCCCAAAAAGUUCGCUGACUUGUCCGGGAAUCCAUAGUGAUCUUCGCCGUGAUCGUUUAAGCUCAGCAACUGAAAAAGAAAAGAAAAUUAAAUAAAGUACCUGCUUACUGAUGAAAACGAUACAUAAACCUACCUGAAACUUUGAUUGAUGCCGAUUUCCUUCCGUCCCUGGAACCGGUCCUUGCGAUGCGAAAAUAUGGAAACGACACAACAAAACUUUUACUAAAAUUAUUGCUCAACUUUUGUUAUCCGAGUAUGGAUAUGUUGAAGCAAACUAAGCUGUACCAGAUUAUCCUUCGCCGAAUUUCUGGUUCUUCCGGACUUCUCCUCUCCGCAAUUUUAGCCUGAAAUAGAAAAGAGAUAGAAAAACUUAAAAUAUAAACUAAAAUUUGCCAAUAAUAAGCUUUCUGAGGAUACUUACCGUGAAAUUUGAACAGAAUGUUUUGAAGACGAUUAAUCUACAACCAGCUCCAAUGUUUACAUAAAAAAAUUCAUUCUCCUUUUUGUUCUUGACGUUUGUCGUGAGUGACCGUCAACAAAACACUCAGUAGCUUGACGUUGUCGUGAGUGACCGUCAGUAAAAUUACUACACUGAAACAAACGAUACUGUUCCAAUCAAUUGACGAUUGAGAUAUAGGUACUUCGUUUAAAAUGACACUAUAGUAAAGAAAUAUUGUUUUGAUCAGAUCAAAAUAGAUUAUUUCAAUUGGACUGUUACAUUCAUCUCUCUCAUAACAAAAUGGAUGAAAGUUCAUUCAUUUUAAGAAGGGACGAUGGGGUAAUGUAACCUUCCGUUACAUAUAUUUUUGUGUGGCUCCGCCACAAAAUCGAAUCAUCCCUGUCCUUUACGGAAAAACAACAAAUGUCACCCAAAAUAACGGCUAACUUCACCCAACCCAACUGUCAUUCCGCACAGGCACUCUCUUUCUAUGAGUGAUCCAUAGGCGUCGUGCUCAACCAGGGACGUCACGGGGAAGUGUGUGCACCCAGAGAACGACGCACCGUGUAAAUUUGCUUCCGAAUAUGUAUGUAUGUGUGUCGGUCCAUUGAAAGUAGAGUCUCGCAAAUAUCCUCACUGCAGAACAUGUUCUUUCUGUCUGUGAUCUCGUUAGAGGAAACAUGUGCGCGUCGUGUGGAGUAAAUCGUAAAUAAAAGUACAGAAAAUUACACGUAUUACAAACACGAAAAAGUAGUACGGUGCGGUUAUUAGAAAAUUAGUACGAUAACGAAUUGUUAAAAGAACAUAAAUAGUGUGAACUGAACUAAACAACAAACACAACAAAGAAAAGGUCCGAGAGGGCCUUUUCUUAUUUUAUCGGCUAAUUAUCCAGCUGAAAACACACGGCAACAUCUAAAAACAACCAAGAAACCCAGACAGAAAACCCGAAACAUAACCUUGCUCAAGGUUAUCAGUAAAAACCAUCCGGUUGAAUCAGGCCCGCAACAUAACCUUGCCGUUUUGAGGUUACGGACGAAAACCAUCCGGUGGUACAAGGCUCCUCCGACUGCACAAGUCCGGAAUCACAACCAGCAAGCAUCGGGUGCUUCCGGGACGCCGGAAGACGCCUGUUGUGAAUCCGGGUUUGCCGUUUGGAACAACAACAUCUAUGUGUCCGUCUGAUUGUCCACCGAUCGUGCGGUCUGUAGCAGCUCCAGUUAAGUCCCGUGUCAAACAAUAACAUUAACC